CCUAAGACACGCUUCGUUGACUGAGCCACCUAGGUGCUCCUGUGUAAUUCCAUCUUUGUAAAGACGGCAUACAAGAGUCAAGAUACAACACAGGCAAGUAAUCUGAACAUUUAGUGUCAGUAAUGGACUUACACGUUUCGGCAAGAUAUAGGCUUGAGAAAACCAACUUCACUCCCAGUAAAAUGUGUUUCAUUGCCACUGAAAUCUUUACAAGUUAUGUUGGGUGCUGGAAAACAAGGAACUAAAGGCAGAAAAAAGCAAGAAACCAUUGUUUUUUUUUCUGCAGGAAAGGAAUUGAUGCAGUACACCAUUUCAACGUUUGACAUUUUGGAUCUUUACUUAUACCCCAGAUGACAUAAGAAGAGGAAGUAAUACUUAGACAGCUUACUAUGUGCUAGGCAGGCAGUCCUGAGACCUUUACAGCCUCAUUGUGUAAAGAGCAAGAACUUUGGGACAUGAAUGACCUAUCUGUGCAUUGCCUCUUUCAGAACCUUAGGUUCCUGGUAGAUAAAAAAUAGCACCAAGAUCACCUACGUUAUAGGACCACUGUGGGGAUUAAAUAUGCUACAACGUACCUAGCACAAACCUCA
Molecule: long non-coding RNA, 590 nt
Organism: Suricata suricatta (meerkat)
Lineage: Eukaryota; Metazoa; Chordata; Mammalia; Carnivora; Herpestidae
Exons: 3
Source: RefSeq, a predicted model, not a curated record